UACGAAGGGGGCUAGCGUUGUUCGGAAUUACUGGGCGUAAAGCGCGUGUAGGCGGGUCUUUAAGUCAGGGGGGAAAUGCCAAGGCUCAACCUUGGAACUGCCUUUGAUACUGGAGAGCUUGAGUCCGGGAGAGGUGAGUGGAAUUGCGAGUGUAGAGGUGAAAUUCGUAGAUAUCGUAAGGAAGACCAGUGGCGAAGGCGGGUCUCUGGACAGUUCCUGACGCUGAGGCACGAAGGUCAGGGGAGCAAACGGG
This 253-nucleotide ribosomal RNA is filed under the name uncultured bacterium. RNAcentral describes it as "partial 16S ribosomal RNA". It matches the Rfam family "Bacterial small subunit ribosomal RNA", at positions 524 to 776 of the family's 1533-position model. The record is from RNAcentral.